AGAUAUCUUUGGGCUGGCCAAUCGCGUGUGGGGCAUCGGAGGUCCCUGGUUGGCGUGAACGCGUGCGCGACCGACCGAGCCGCCGUUCCCCAUCCCUCGAUUCCUCUCCCUCCCCUCGUCUUCCGCCGUCGCUGCCACCGGCGACCUCCCCACAGCAGCUGCCGCCACCGGCGACCUCCCCCACGGCUGAUGCUCCCACCCCUUCUAUCCUUCCUUUACCUUCCCUCACCAUCGACGACCUCCUCCCCUCCCCCCUGCCCCAAAUUGAGCAGCAGGCCCAGAUCCAACGCAGGCUCAGAUCCGGCACGCUCAUAACCCUGGUUCGUCUUGAGGACACUAUGGACAAGAUGCUCUGGGCCUAGUGAUGCAGCCAUGGACAAGGACUCAUGUGGUCGUCGAUUACAAGGGUGUCUCAGGGGGUUAAAGAAGUUGUGUUCUUACAGAUUUGAGCUGAAAGUAAUUCAAAAUAGGAGGCCGGAAGGGAUCUUAUACUACGAUGAGCGUUUUCUUCAAUCAUACCAAAAUGCAUGAAAAAUAUAGCUGUGGUUGUUGGUCUGAUUUAAAUGAGAAUUUAAAUAUUUCUUGCUUGGUUAUUCCAGUUAUGUUACAAUAUUUGAUUUUCGUAGCUCAGGAUGUCGAUUCACAUUGUCUUAAUUCCUGUAUGCUGGUUUCUUUCUACCCCUUGACAGGGAGAUCCAGGAAGGAGGUGACCGUCUCCCACGGCGUCGCAUCGUCAUGAGGAGGACGAAAGUGAGCAUGGGCUGUAGGCUGGUGACAUACAUACUGGUUAAGGGUGGAUAUAUGUGAUUUGUGUGCCGUGUCGGUUCCAGGUAGCACAAUGUUUCAGACUCAGAGCAAAGGAAAAAGCUGAUCAAUAGGUUUCAGCCAUGGUUAGCCUCUCUUCCAAUUUUUUGAUGUGAGUUUUUAGCCUUACUUUUUCUGGCAAUGGAUGCAGAUUAGCUUGGUGGCCUGCAUCUAUAUUUCUUUAUAGUUUUUUUUGUGUUGUUUGGCUAAUAAUUCUGCUCUGUAUCAUCUCCAAACAAGGGUUAGUUAGCUAUCUUUAGAUCUUUUUUGGUACACAAACACUGCAUGUAUUUGUACGUAUAGCAGGAUUUGAAUCCGUUUUGUAUCUACAUGGCAGAACUACCACUCAAAUUAGUGUCUUUUAUUUCUUCAUCAAGAAAAGGUUUGUUCUCUCAGUUUCCUCCAAGUCCAAGUUCAGUUUGAACUGUCUAAACAGGGAUUUACAGAUUGUAUAUUCUUUGCCCACUUGCUAUUUUUUUGCUAAUGCCGUCAUUGUGAUUAGCAAAAGUAGGAUUUUUAUAUGCUUGGUUACUCUUUAGAUUACGAUGUUGAAGACACAGCUUUACCUCUUCAACCAUCUGAACUAUGCUGCACCAGAACUGGUCCCUAGUGGUGAUUCUAAAGUAGGCUUUUCCUGUGACAUAUUUAGUUUUGGAUUGCCAUAAUAAUGUGAAAAUGGUAUCUGUUUUAAUCUGGCACAUGCUUUGUCAAAAUAUAAUGUAUUUAAUCUGGACUUCGCUCUACCUUUGACAUAUGCUACAGCUGCAUAUGCAGAAAACAUACUGACAUGUCCCCCUGUAAUUGCAGUAUAUGAAUUCAUUGACAUAUUUAACAAGUGAAGCCUUUUCUAAUAUUCCUACUCAUCUGGUGGUUGAUUUGCAAAAGAUGCUCUCAGUUGACAGCGGCGGCGGACAGCGCUGGGCGGCACGCCCAUCAGUGCCCGUGUGCCCCGACCGGUGCGGACUGCUUGCGUAGGGCCACAUCAGCUGGUUGCUCAAGCCUGCGUGUGGACUGCCCGCUAAGAUUGAUUUCCAGCUCAUCUCCAUGGGUUCCCUGAGGUGAGCGCGAUGCCGAGGAGAGAUGGCGUCGAGGACGACAUCUGAGGACAUCAUCACGCUCAUGGCUCCGCCGCCAUCGUCAUCGAGUUUUUUGGUUUCACAGCAAACAGGUGUGCGACGGGCCGGCAACCAGCGGCGCCAUCUCUAUCCCUGACACUAGAUAAUAGCGUGGCUAAUGGCCCGCGCGCGGCGCGCCUGUCUGUGCCCGUGCGCUCAGGCUGAUGCGGACUGCGACUGCGCGUAGGGCCGCCGCAGCUGCAUGCUCAAGGCGGCGUGCGGACUGCCUGAGAAACACUGACUUUGUUAUCCAAGACCAGUGGUUACGCUCUUGGGUCAAUAUUCAGGAUAAUCACCAUUAAUUAAGCAACCACACCUACAAUAAUGUCAUCCGGUGGAAUCACGUGUUGCUGCUAAUCAGGAUCUAAGACGACACAUAUCACACUUCUGCCCGUCAUCCUAAUUUUGGUGCUUUUUUAGAGGUGUGGGAUUGGGCAGUGGUGAGCUUGGCUCUCAUAUCAGGUUUCUCGUCUACAUUAAUCUUGAUGUUGGGAAGCAGUCAAUGGGUGAUUACCGAACGUGUCGGAACUUCCAAGCAAAUGUCUCUCUGUGGCUAAAAUAAAUCUUAUUUCCCCUCAAGUUACUAAACUGCAAUGGGUAGUUGGUCGGUCGCUGUCAAUUGAAUGUGGGAAUUGAAAUGUCUUGCCGUUUUACAAUUCUUGUUUUGCUUCACAAUCUUCUCUGUUAAAUAGACCUGUUAGUAUCUAUGAAACUACUACGCUUGCUUUGCUUUAUGAAUGAACACUUGUCUCCUGCA
This is a non-coding RNA of Triticum urartu, 2676 nucleotides long. NCBI's taxonomy places the organism in Eukaryota, Viridiplantae, Streptophyta, Magnoliopsida, Poales, Poaceae. The record is from RefSeq and is a predicted model, not a curated record.